GACGAACGCUGGCGGCGUGCUUAACACAUGCAAGUCGAACGGUGAAGCGCCUUCCUUUUUGGUGGGUGUGGAUGAGUGGCGAACGGGUGAGUAACACGUGAGUAACCUGCCCCCUUCUUCUGGAUAACCGCAUGAAAGUGUGGCUAAUACGGGAUAUUCUGGGUCUGUCGCAUGAUGGGUCUGGGAAAGAUAUUGUUUCGGUGGGGGAUGGGCUCGCGGCCUAUCAGCUUGUUGGUGGGGUGAUGGCCUACCAAGGCGGUGACGGGUAGCCGGCCUGAGAGGGUGGACGGUCACACUGGGACUGAGACACGGCCCAGACUCCUACGGGAGGCAGCAGUGGGGAAUAUUGCACAAUGGGCGCAAGCCUGAUGCAGCGAAGCCGCGUGAGGGAUGGAGGCCUUCGGGUUGUGAACCUCUUUCGCCAGUGAAGCAGGCCUGCCUCGUUUGUGGGUGGGUUGACGGUAGCUGGAUAAGAAGCGCCGGCUAACUACGUG
RNAcentral lists this ribosomal RNA (494 nucleotides) under uncultured bacterium. Its description in RNAcentral is "partial 16S ribosomal RNA". It matches the Rfam family "Bacterial small subunit ribosomal RNA", at positions 28 to 507 of the family's 1533-position model. The record is from RNAcentral.